UUUAAUGGCCGCAGUAUUCUGACUGUGCAAAGGUAGCAUAAUCAUUAGUUUCUUAAUUAGAAACUGGAAUGAAUGGUUGGACGAGAAAAUAACUGUCUCUGUAUGAAUUUUUUUAGAAUUUUAUUUUUAAGUUAAAAAGCUUAAAUUUAUUUAAAAGACGAGAAGACCCUAUAGAGUUUUAUAUAUUUUUUAUAAAUAAUAUUUUUAGAUUAAUUUUUAUUAUUAUAAAAUAAUAUAUUUAAUUGGGGUGAUUGAAAAAUUUAUUUAACUUUUUUUUUACAUUAACAUUAAUUUAUGAAUUAUUGAUCCAUUUAAAAUGAUUAUAAGAUUAAAUUACCUUAGGGAUAACAGCGUAAUUUCUUUGAAGAGUUCUAAUCGAUAAAGGAGUUUGCGACCUCGAUGUUGGAUUAAAAUUUAAUUUUGGUGUAGAAGCUAAAAAUUUAGGUCUGUUCGACCUUUAAAAUUUUACAUGAUCUGAGUUUAAACCGGUGUGAGCCAGGUUGGUUUCUAUCUUUAAAAAAUUUUAAUAUUUUAGUACGAAAGGACCAAAUAUUAGUAAAAUUUAUUUUAUUAUGAUUAUUAUUAAU
Molecule: ribosomal RNA, 587 nt
Filed under: Thinonoma atra
Lineage: Eukaryota; Metazoa; Arthropoda; Insecta; Coleoptera; Staphylinidae
Description: partial 16S ribosomal RNA
Rfam family: Bacterial large subunit ribosomal RNA
Source: RNAcentral